GGCAGCAUGAACUUAGCUUGCUAAGUUUGAUGGCGACCGGCGCACGGGUGAGUAACACGUAUCCAACCUGCCGAUGACUCGGGGAUAGCCUUUCGAAAGAAAGAUUAAUACCCGAUGGCAUAGUUCUUCCGCAUGGUGGAACUAUUAAAGAAUUUCGGUCAUCGAUGGGGAUGCGUUCCAUUAGGUUGUUGGCGGGGUAACGGCCCACCAAGCCUUCGAUGGAUAGGGGUUCUGAGAGGAAGGUCCCCCACAUUGGAACUGAGACACGGUCCAAACUCCUACGGGAGGCAGCAGUGAGGAAUAUUGGUCAAUGGACGAGAGUCUGAACCAGCCAAGUAGCGUGAAGGAUGACUGCCCUAUGGGUUGUAAACUUCUUUUAUACGGGAAUAAAGUGAGGCACGUGUGCCUUUUUGUAUGUACCGUAUGAAUAAGGAUCGGCUAACUCCGUGCCAGCAGCCGCGGUAAUACGGAGGAUCCGAGCGUUAUCCGGAUUUAUUGGGUUUAAAGGGAGCGUAGGCGGACGCUUAAGUCAGUUGUGAAAGUUUGCGGCUCAACCGUAAAAUUGCAGUUGAUACUGGGUGUCUUGAGUACAGUAGAGGCAGGCGGAAUUCGUGGUGUAGCGGUGAAAUGCUUAGAUAUCACGUAGAACUCCGAUUGCGAAGGCAGCUUGCUG
RNAcentral lists this ribosomal RNA (673 nucleotides) under uncultured Bacteroidales bacterium. RNAcentral describes it as "bacterial SSU rRNA". It matches the Rfam family "Bacterial small subunit ribosomal RNA", at positions 68 to 731 of the family's 1533-position model. Lineage: Bacteria; Pseudomonadati; Bacteroidota; Bacteroidia; Bacteroidales. The record is from RNAcentral.